UGUUGUAAAUUUUGACACUAGAUGGCGUUCAGUAUUGUUAUAAACAAAAUGUCCGAAAGUGUUGCUUUAUCUGUGUUUCGAGUGUUUUUGUUUUUAUCGGUUUUUACGAACCAAAUUCAACCUUAAUUUGAUAUGCAAGCAAAUAUUGUGUCUGACCGUCUGUUAUGUUGUCCCAUCUGGCAUUGGCAUUCCUAGUUUUAACAACGAGUUCCUGAAUAUUUCAUUUUUCAUAUUAGCCACAACUUCAGCUACCGAUCAUCAACUGAAUGACCAAUUUUCUUUACAGGCACCAGUAUUUAUGAAUUUUUUCUUUGCAUUAAAAGGCAUGGUCAAUGCUCCAGUAGAGAGCAGUACGGAGGACUGUUUUGGUUUUCAUAUCUUACAGUCUGUGAUCAUUAUUAGUUAUUACAUACUGCCUUCGCUAACUAGCAUUACAAUGUGGGCUGCAAUGGAGUUGGGAGUGGAUUCAGCCAAACUCUCGUCUAUGCGAUAUACUAUUACUUUACAUUUCCAACGGUUUCCACUUCUGAUAGAAAUUAUACAACAAACUUCCAACUACAGUUAGAGGACAUUUGAUUCGUUUGAUGUUGUCGCAAGUUGUUUUUCGAUGGGGCCGUUUUGAGGUCACAGAACGAACAUUAAUUUGGAUUGCCCCCUCACUUUAUAAACGGAAACAGUCCUCCAACGUUUCAUGCUCCGCUUCGAUCAACUUCAACUCGACUGCAACGAUCAUCUCUUCAUCUACGACGGAGCUCACGCCAACGGCAUUUACAAGGCCGACCUGUCGGGCCGUCACACGUGUCAAAGCGUCGGCACAAUAACCACACGAACCAAUUUUGUCACGCUCAAAUACGUCACAGAUGCUUGGGGCACUGAGACCAGCGGAUUUCAUCUUGUCACCGCAUUCAAAGAUAAAAGAUUUCUGCAUUUCCACCGAUUUGCUCUGCGAUGGCGUCGGAUGGCGUCAAUCACUUCGGCGAUAACACGGACGAAACGUCACUCUGCGCAGACAGCGAUCAACAUUUCAAGAUCCUCGGACUGAAUGUGCCGGUCUUUAGAGCAGUGGCCGGAAGUAUCGGUGUUGUCAUUCUCUGCGCAGUGACGGCCAUUAUCGUCGUCUGCUGCUGUCGGAGGAAGAAACCGCCUACAACUUCUGCUGGAGCAGCAGCAGCAAGUGGCAAUAAAGGUCGACUUGUCGACGAUGGCAACCAGCAGCAAAAACGCAUUGCCAAUUUGUUGUCCAGCUGUGUCCAACGAUUCUGCUGUCGAAAUGCGGAUGGGCUCCCGCGCGCUCCCGCCAAACGAAUUUUCUCUGCUCAAAAUUUAAUGAGCCCUGCUCUCCUCCUCUUUCCCCAUGUCUACUAAGAGGGCGAGGCGGCUCGAACCUCUCGUGCUUCACGUGAAAACAUCAACAGCCGUGAGCGGAGUAAAGAAACGAAGGAGAACGAGAGCACUCGCUAGACGCAACCAACGCCAGCGACAACGCCACGUCCGGCCAGAGCGCGAAGUGCUGACAUGCGUAAAGACAACAAUAACGCCGCCACACACAAGUCGAGUCCCGAAGGUGCUCCGUCGCAGCCGAGCCACACCAAACGGCCAAACAGGGACGCCGGCAGACAUCCGUCGUCGGCGGCCAGAGAGACUAAAACGCCCGUCAAAGCCACGGCUGAGGCCCCCAAGAGCGCCAAAGGAGUCAAGACGGAAGAAGGAGCUGCUACCACGGGCAAAGCUAAUAAUAAAUCGGUGGCAGCAGCAGCAACCAAAAAGGCGGAUGAGGAAGCCGUCAAGGCAGCAGAACUCGUUCAAGUGACAGUUCCGCCAUCCGAUUCCCAGCCAGAGUCUAAGGAAGUGGUGAACGUCAAAGUUGAAGAAAGCCACCAUCCCACAGCUGUUGAAACGCUUCCGGCUGCCGGCUGCGAGACCGAAAUGAUUUCGAUGACGGACGCUACUGCGUCCGAUGAUGCUCUGGAUGUUGAAAUUCUUCCUCCCGUCACCACCACCAACAAUGACGUGGCUGUCGUUUCCACUCCGUCGGAAGUGUCGAACGCCGAGGGACAAGUCUCCGUCGACUCGAUUCCGUCCGGAGCGACGACUCCAUCGGAGACGGGCUUGGUAUCUGGCGAUUCGGUUCCUUCGUCGUUGACGUCGCGUAAAAUCAUUUCGUCUGAAGAGGAGGCCAAAGCGGCCCUGGCCGAAAAGCGGCGCCUGGCCCGCGAGCAGAUGGAUUGGGUCGAGCAACAACGAGAGCGGCAACGAGCUCAACAACGCUGUGAGCAGCGACCAGUCAGCCAGUGACGUGACUAGCGUCGGGAUGAUGAACAACAGCAUCAACGACAACAACAGCAACGGGCAAUCGUCUUUGUCGCCCGACGACGACUCGCUGAUGGAUGAUGACACCACCAAGCAGAAGAACAAUGGCUUCCACCUCCACCACAAUCACCAUCACAACAACCAACAUAUCGACGCGACAGAUUCCUCCUCCUCCCUAGCCAGCACCACCAGUGAUUUACCAGACAUCUCGAACGUCACAGCCAACGCUGACAGACAGCGUCAACUCGAUUGCCAGUACUAACAACAUAACCGCCGAAGUCGAGCCCGUCGAAUUUUUAGCUUGAAAAGUUGACUUUCGGCUGUAAUCCCCCAUUUCCUCCUUUUUCUUUAUUUUUGGUCCUUCCUUAUUUUUUCCUUUUUUUGAUUUUUUUUUAAAACGUCGUUUAUCCAUUUCUUAAUAUUCUUGCUAGAGAAAGAAGCUCAGCGCGCUGGGGUUUAGACGGAUCAAUCACGGCCAUCGUUUUCCUCGAUUUUCUUUUUUUUAACCAAAAAAAAAGAAUUAUUUAAAAGUGAAGAAAAAUCAAAUGUAGAUGAUCGCUUCUUCUUCGCAUCGAAAGGAAAAGUCCUUGUUUGUUUGUUUACUUUUCAACUUGUAACCAUCUAUUUCUACAUAAUUUUUUUGUAUUGUAUUCCACAUUUUUCUUGGUCGUGGGCUUUAAUAGUGAAACUGAAAGAAAAGGAGUUUUCUUCACGAGGAAAAUUGUGCGAGGAAAAGUUGCAGCUGGUUAAUGUUUUCUUCUAUUUUUCUUUUUCGUCUUUCGAAUCGCGGUCGAUGAGUUUUUAACUAUCUAUCUAUCGAUGUUUUUUUUUCUUGCUGCUUUUACUUCUCUGCUUAUUUGUAAUGCACCUUAAUUUUAAACAAGCUCUGGUCAAGACCGUUCAUAAUAGUUGGAUUAUUUUAUUGUCUUUUUACGGCCAUUAGCGAGUUACUGAACAUCUUAUGCUUUGGGGAUUUAAAAAAAAAAAACAAAUAUCACAACAACAAUCGAGUCAAGCUGACAAUGCAGCAAUCCGGCCAAAAAAGUGUGUUGCAAUUUUCAACACUAGAUGGCGAUUGGUAUUGUUCACUCGCGGCGAACAAAUCUAAUGAUGCUUAGUUCGUUCUCUCUGUUCGAUUUUCCUACUUCCUAGUAUUAGCAUGGUGUUAGUAACCCAGAGUAGUAACCAAAUUCAACAUAAUUUGAUACACAAGGAAAUCCUUAAGUGUAAUGUGUCUAGAGUGAUUGUUGUUAAUGUUAUAUCUCUCUGUAUUACAUAUUGUGCCUGUUGUUGUCUCAUCAGGUGACAUUCAUUGGAUAGUUGUUGACAUAUCCAGUUUACAAAUUCCUGAGUACUUCAUAGUAACCACAACUUCAGCUUCAAUUUGAUUUGAUUUGAUGUUAAUUGAAGCUGAAGUUGUGGUUACUAUGAACUUCACAGUCGGAGUUUAGCCUAUCUGCAAAUGGCAAUGUUGCCCGUUCUUUUCAAGAUGGCGGCUGGAAUUCGACACGAGAAUCGACAGCAUUCAGGAGUGAUGGCUUUUCCCGGCUGAGUCUAGCUUAGAGAGUUUUGGCUUGCUCUUCCUGAGAUUUGGCAAUGCGAUUUUUCGAAGGAAUUGUGCUUGUCACAUGUUUGGUGUGUAUUCUAGUCCAGCAUGCUAAAUGAUUAUUCCUGACUGGAGAUUUUUGUGGUGUUGUGGAAGUGUGGACUACAGAAGCAGAUUGCUGAUUCAAAUGUGUUCUUGCAUUUCUUCUGUUGUGGUUUCACAGCCAGGUGAAGUCUGAGCUUCUUCAAUGCUGUCUAUUGUGCUCAUGGUUUUGUUGCAGCCAGCUGAUGAUUGGUGUUAUGAGCUGCUGCAUGCAGUCCAUCGUGCUGGUGUGGUGAGCUGCUUCUAUCCAGUCUGUGGUGCUGGUGUUAUCCUUAAUUGUUGGCUCUAGAUUACUUACACGAUUUUGGAUUGUGGUGUUUGUGGUAGUAUAAAUAGUGCUGUACUGCUGUUCAUAAAUAGUAAAAGUUAUUGCAAACUGAUAUCAUGGUUUACAAAUUCUUAUCUAUGUAAUGGUGUUUGGUUUUACGCUGAAGAUUGCUUAGUGAAAUAACGAAAAAUAAAUAACAUGAAGAUUAA
RNAcentral lists this unclassified non-coding RNA (4435 nucleotides) under Daphnia pulex (common water flea). RNAcentral's name for it is "uncharacterized LOC124207471, transcript variant X2". The record is from RNAcentral. Lineage: Eukaryota; Metazoa; Arthropoda; Branchiopoda; Diplostraca; Daphniidae.